AGAGCAGCCGCUGUGGGUUCAUUAAUUACCCGAAGCACAUUUAGUCCAGAUAUCUGGCCAGCAUCCUUAGUGGCCUAUAAAAAAAGAAAAAAGCAUUUUCCACCGUGUCCCAGGGGACAAGGGUUCGAGCCCUGGUCCAGGAAGAUUCCACAUGCCGCAGAGCAACUAAGCCCGUGCUCCACAACAAGAGAAGCCACAGCAAUGAGAAGCCCACAUACCGCAAUUAAGCGUAGCCCCCGGUCGCUGCAAAUAGAGGAAGCCCAUGUGCAGCAACCAAGACCCAAUGCAGCCAAAAA
Long non-coding RNA from Aethalodelphis obliquidens (Pacific white-sided dolphin), 296 nucleotides. RefSeq lists it as uncharacterized. Lineage: Eukaryota; Metazoa; Chordata; Mammalia; Artiodactyla; Delphinidae. The record is from RefSeq and is a predicted model, not a curated record. The transcript has 2 exons.